AGGGAUCAUUACAGAGUUUUCUAACUCCCAAACCCUUUGUGAACUUACUAUUUUGUUGCCUCGGCGGGCCUCUGAGAUUCGUCUCACGUCCGCCGAUGGCCCUUUAAACUCUGUUACUUUUAAGCAAUCUGAGUCUUUUAUAAAAUAAAGUCAAAACUUUCAACAACGGAUCUCUUGGUUCUGGCAUCGAUGAAGAACGCAGCGAAAUGCGAUAAGUAAUGUGAAUUGCAGAAUUCAGUGAAUCAUCGAAUCUUUGAACGCACAUUGCGCCUAUUAGUAUUCUAGUAGGCAUGCCUGUUCGAGCGUCAUUUCAACCCUUAAGCCUAGCUUAGUGUUGGGAGUCUACGGUAAAACGUAGUUCCUCAAAGACGUUGGCAGAGCUCAAUCGAUCUCUCAGCGUAGUAAUUUUUCUCGUUGUAGAAGACGGUUGGGCGAUAGCCAAGAAACCUAUUAUUUUUUAAUGGUUGACCUCGGAUCAGGUAGGAAUACCCGCUGAACUUAAGCAUAUCAAUAAGCGGAGGAAAAGAAACCAACAGGGAUUGCCUCAGUAACGGCGAGUGAAGCGGCAACAGCUCAAAUUUGAAAUCUGGCCUAGCCCGAGUUGUAAUUUGCAGAGGAUGCUUUUGGUGAGGUGCCUUCCGAGUUCCCUGGAACGGGACGCCAUAGAGGGUGAGAGCCCCGUACGGGUKGGAUGCCGAGCCUCUGUAAAGCUCCUUCGACGAGUCGAGUAGUUUGGGAAUGCUGCUCUAAAUGGGAGGUAAAUUUCUUCUAAAGCUAAAUACCGGCCAGAGACCGAUAGCGCACAAGUAGAGUGAUCGAAAGAUGAAAAGCACUUUGAAAAGAGGGUUAAAUAGCACGUGAAAUUGUUGAAAGGGAAGCGUUUAUGACCAGACAUUACCCGGUAAGGAUUACCCUCCGGGUGAGGCCAACAUCGAUUUUCUCAGGGGGAUAAAGGUUUAGGGAACGUAGCUCCUCGGAGUAUUAUAGCCCUUUUCGUAAUACCCUUGGGGGGAUCGAGGUUCGCGCU
RNAcentral lists this ribosomal RNA (1027 nucleotides) under uncultured fungus. Its description in RNAcentral is "eukaryotic LSU rRNA". The stretch from base 466 to 1027 matches the Rfam family "Eukaryotic large subunit ribosomal RNA", at positions 1 to 601 of the family's 3401-position model. Lineage: Eukaryota; Fungi. The record is from RNAcentral.